RNAcentral lists this transfer RNA (81 nucleotides) under Drechslerella stenobrocha 248. Its description in RNAcentral is "tRNA-Ser (CGA) (tRNA-Ser-CGA-1-1)". It matches the Rfam family "tRNA". From Rfam's summary of the family: Transfer RNA (tRNA) molecules are approximately 80 nucleotides in length. Lineage: Eukaryota; Fungi; Ascomycota; Orbiliomycetes; Orbiliales; Orbiliaceae. The record is from RNAcentral.
GUCAGUGUGGCCGAGUGGUUAAGGCGUUUGACUCGAAAUCAAAUGGGUUCGCCCGCACAGGUUCGAAUCCUGUCGCUGACG